This 318-nucleotide long non-coding RNA is filed under the name Malus domestica (apple). RNAcentral's name for it is "long non-coding RNA (MDOM_LNC020744)". The record is from RNAcentral. Lineage: Eukaryota; Viridiplantae; Streptophyta; Magnoliopsida; Rosales; Rosaceae.
ACAAGUGUGGGGGAAGGAUUUUUGAUAGGUGGAUGUGCCAAAGUCUAUUUUGAGGCACGAGAAAAAAAAAAAAAAAAAAAAAGAAAGAAAAUUCGUAGAAAAAAAAAGAAGAAAAAAAUAAAAAGAAAAAUGUGAGAAAAGUGUGAAAAAGAGUUGAAAGAGCAUGGAAAUGAGCUCUAUGGUGUUGGGUCUUGAAGAAGGGGUCCAAAACAUUGAAUUUGACCCCAAGUGUUGCAUGAAUUUCCCCUUUGAGUUUAAAAGUUGAUUUUUGCAUUCAAAAGUGAAUUCGAAGAGUCAAUUUCAUUGCUUUGCUUACUA